AAGGGAAUCAAUAAGGAGUCCGAUCAUGGAAACGGAACAUUCACUGGAGUAGCCUCGACUGGAGAUUUUUCUAGAAGACUGAUGAGACUGGGCUCUUCCUCUCAUCCUGGGAUAGGAUAUGCUUAAUGUAAUAACCUACUGGAUGUUUCCGUGCCUCUCUGCCAAUCUCAACUUUUGUGUGAGUAAUAACGUUGGCAUUCACGCUCGUUGGGAUAGCUGAUCAAAUUCUUAUCAAAAAGGUGCAGCUCAAGUGAC
Long non-coding RNA from Puntigrus tetrazona (Sumatra barb), 255 nucleotides. RefSeq lists it as uncharacterized. The record is from RefSeq and is a predicted model, not a curated record. NCBI's taxonomy places the organism in Eukaryota, Metazoa, Chordata, Actinopteri, Cypriniformes, Cyprinidae. The transcript has 3 exons.